AUUCAAGUCUGCCAUAUCUAGGAGCCUGCAUCCUAGCUUCAACUGGGUUAGGAUCAUGGCCGGGUUCUCGUUGCUUGCGGGUAAUACUUCCUGUCUCGCCUUGCUGCCCCUCCACUCGCGUGGCAGCCAAGUCCCUCGAGAGCUCUUCAAUGCGGGCAGAAAGUUGUUCUCGCUCUACUCGAUCUCUUUGACAAUCCUCUUG
This 202-nucleotide unclassified non-coding RNA is filed under the name Hevea brasiliensis (rubber tree). Lineage: Eukaryota; Viridiplantae; Streptophyta; Magnoliopsida; Malpighiales; Euphorbiaceae. The record is from RNAcentral.